Molecule: ribosomal RNA, 409 nt
Filed under: uncultured bacterium
Lineage: Bacteria
Description: bacterial SSU rRNA
Rfam family: Bacterial small subunit ribosomal RNA
Source: RNAcentral
UGGGGAAUAUUGCACAAUGGGCGCAAGCCUGAUGCAGCGACGCCGCGUGGGGGAUGACGGCCUUCGGGUUGUAAACCUCUUUCAGCUCUGACGAAGCGCAAGUGACGGUAGGAGCAGAAGAAGGACCGGCCAACUACGUGCCAGCAGCCGCGGUAAUACGUAGGGUCCGAGCGUUGUCCGGAAUUACUGGGCGUAAAGAGCUCGUAGGUGGUUUGUCGCGUUGUUCGUGAAAUCUCACAACUCAAUUGUGAGCGUGCGGGCGAUACGGGCAGACUGGAGUACUGCAGGGGAGACUGGAAUUCCUGGUGUAGCGGUGGAAUGCGCAGAUAUCAGGAGGAACACCGGUGGCGAAGGCGGGUCUCUGGGCAGUAACUGACGCUGAGGAGCGAAAGCGUGGGGAGCAAACAGG